RNAcentral lists this long non-coding RNA (901 nucleotides) under Salmo salar (Atlantic salmon). RNAcentral describes it as "lncRNA (ENSSSAG00000108868.1, ENSSSAG00020069112.1)". The record is from RNAcentral. Lineage: Eukaryota; Metazoa; Chordata; Actinopteri; Salmoniformes; Salmonidae.
GGGAAGUGGGGGACGUGGGACGAAGGCAGUGUGCCCACGUCAACAAGUGCCAGGGAUGGGAGAAUGUGGUGUAAUGAAGGAAGGACUGGGACUAGCAGAAAUCCGCGGCUAACGGCUAAAUCCCUCUGAAAACAAUUAAAGUGCUGCCGUUCCCUUAGCAAACCGCCUGGGCUUCUGAAGCGUCCUGUUGUUCACUUUGUUAUGGUCGCCUCCACUUUUUUUUUGGAGAGGGAUUGUGCUGUUGAUGUGCCGGGGGCUUGGCUGUGCUGAUCGGAUCUGCGCGAUAAGCCUCCACCCUCUCUUUGUCCGCGAGCCAGGCGAGACAUGAGCAGUAAGCCCACUGGGUCAACUGAGGACAAGAUGUCUGUCCGAUACCUGAAAGGGAAGAUCAAGACUCAGCACAUGCUUGAGGGAUCAUAUAAACAACCCAUAAACACACUCGGCUUGUAUGCAGCACAUGCUGAGAUCAGAGAUGAAGAGAGAAAUCCAUAUUGACUGCUCUGCAUUGACUCAAAUCAAGAUGAGAACACACAGAGGAUUAAAGGAGAUGAGCCACUCUCUGAGCAGAGUUAUAAAGCCAAGAGCCUAUUACCAACAACCAGCACGAGGAGCAUCUCUCUGUCAGACUGCUCUGCAAACACGUGGCCUGAUGUUAUCACCUGUAGUGUUUUUCAGUAUCCCCAUGUUAGCCACUCCAUUGUCUAGGGCUAUAUAGCUAAAUAAUUAAUGGGUUGUUCCAUUUGAUUUCAAUCACUUCUUGAAUGCACCCCUUUUGAUUUGAUCAAAACUUUCCAUACAUAUUUUCCCAUGGUAGAAGUGGCCAGAAAGUAAUUUUUUGGACCGAAAUGCCAAAACAUUCAGGAGAUACAGGUGUUCAAAGUUAACCCAUUUUCCAUACCCC